CCUACGGGAGGCAGCAGUGAGGAAUAUUGGUCAAUGGGCGGAAGCCUGAACCAGCCAAGUCGCGUGAGGGAUUAAGGCCCUGCGGGUCGUAAACCUCUUUUGCCGGGGAGCAGAGGUCCGGACGUGACCGGGCCGUGCGAGUACCCGGAGAAAAAGCAUCGGCUAACUCCGUGCCAGCAGCCGCGGUAAUACGGUGGAUGCGGGCGUUACCUGGAUUUAUUGGGUUUAAAGGGUGCGUAGGCGGGCGGGUAAGUUAGAGGUGAAAUCCCGGGGCUUAACUUCGGAAUUGCCUUUGAUACUGUUGGGCUAGAGUGUAGUUGCGGUAGGCGGAAUGCAUGGUGUAGCGGUGAAAUGCUUAGAGAUCAUGCAGAACACCGAUUGCGAAGGCAGCUUACCGGGGUACUUCUGACGUUGAGGCACGAAAGCGUGGGGAGCAAACAGGAUUAGAUACCCGGGUAGUC
This 461-nucleotide ribosomal RNA is filed under the name uncultured bacterium. Its description in RNAcentral is "partial 16S ribosomal RNA". It matches the Rfam family "Bacterial small subunit ribosomal RNA", at positions 338 to 795 of the family's 1533-position model. The record is from RNAcentral.